GAUGAAGAACGUAGCGAAAUGCGAUACGUAAUGUGAAUUGCAGAAUUCAGUGAAUCAUCGAAUCUUUGAACGCACAUUGCGCCUGCCAGCACUCUGGCAGGCAUGCCUGUUCGAGCGUCAUUUCAACCAUCAGGCCCUAGGCUUGCGUUGGAGCCCUGCGGCUGCCGCAGGCCCCUAAAAGCAGUGGCGGGCUCGCUAUCACACCGAGUGCAGUAGAUUACUCUUCGCUCAGGGCGUGUGGCGGGUUCCAGCCGUGAAACCCCCUACUUCUCAAGGUUGACCUCGGAUCAGGUAGGAAUACCCGCUGAACUUAAGCAUAUCAAUAAGCGGAGGA
Molecule: unclassified non-coding RNA, 334 nt
Filed under: soil metagenome
Description: partial contains 5.8S ribosomal RNA, internal transcribed spacer 2, and large subunit ribosomal RNA
Rfam family: 5.8S ribosomal RNA (bases 1-120)
Source: RNAcentral